CAUAGAAAGUUUUGUAAAAUUCAUAUAAUUUAUUUUAGUAAUUUAUAUGAAGGGAGGUAAAUAGUUGUUUUUGACAAAAUCACUAGUCCAAAGAAAGUCAGACACUAUGUACAUGUUAAUUAGUUGUGUGAGUGCUGGAAAAAAAAACUUUUUAAUCACAAAUGUUAAUGUUU
Long non-coding RNA from Xiphophorus hellerii (green swordtail), 173 nucleotides. RefSeq lists it as uncharacterized. The record is from RefSeq and is a predicted model, not a curated record. The transcript has 4 exons. NCBI's taxonomy places the organism in Eukaryota, Metazoa, Chordata, Actinopteri, Cyprinodontiformes, Poeciliidae.